GCUGCUUCUGAGAUCUAUGUUGACACGGUGACUAAUGAAGAACUGAAAUCAGGGUUGGAUCUUCCUUCGCAUCUUCUGAACUGGAGUGCGAGCUUGUUGGAGAGAUUAAAAUCAUUACAAAAGUCUGGAGGUCAUGAAUGGACAUCUAAGUACAUCUUGGAGACUCAGGUUAGACUUUCAGAUUUGAUGUCACUGAUGCCCUAUAAGACAUCG
This 213-nucleotide unclassified non-coding RNA is filed under the name Hevea brasiliensis (rubber tree). The record is from RNAcentral. Lineage: Eukaryota; Viridiplantae; Streptophyta; Magnoliopsida; Malpighiales; Euphorbiaceae.